AGAACCUGAGGCAUAUUUGACAUCUUACGUUCUUUCCUAAUCACGGUGCUUCUUAAAGAAUAAUAUUACCUGACAAGAUUAUGAAACUCAGAAAGUAAAGCACCGCAUAUUAUAUCACUAUUUAAGGACUCACCUUCUUUCAAAACUCCACCCAGCUCUAUCAAUUUAGGGUAUAAUAUAUGAUGAAUGCAAUCCCUGUUUACGACUCCUAAUAAUAAUAACAAUGCCGAUGCCUUCUACACCAAGAGUGUGGGAUAGUUCAUAGGAAGUGAAUCAUAUACAGUGAAUCCAAUUCCGUACAUAUCAGACUACUUCAGAUAAACUGGCACAAGCACGGAUAUAGUUGCAACUUUAUCAUUGGAGUACUUUUAACUAAAUCAUCCCUUGCACUAUAAGUCAUAAUAACAAAUUACCUUCUUGGUUAUCUUUUGUACAAGUGGUAUUGCAAGUGUUUUCAGAUUAAAAGCUAAGAGAAAACACCUUUAAAGUUAAAUUCUCAAAUUUUUAAUAUUUAAUCAAUGAUGGACAACAAAAACCAAUAUGAUGAUUAAUUCCUAACAACAAUCAAAAGUGCAGAGAGCAGGGAUUUUGAUUCAAGAGCGUAAAGAGCGCCACGUAAGACGCCCGAGAUUUUGCUUUAUAUAGAUAUAAGAUUUGACAUUCUUUAGUAUAAAAUUUUAAAAAUAAUAUUAAUUACAUAUACGUCAAGUGAGUAGCAUGUAAACUAUGAAUUUUUUUUACAAAGUGCUGAAUCGAUCCUCUGUCAUCACACAAACGUAUUAUAUACAUUCCAUUAAAUGGGUUGCCAGCCUUUGGGUUCUUUUGCCUCAUAUCAGCUGCAUGACCACUGGACACAAAGAGUACAUUGGACAUAUAAAGCUUGUUAGAGAGAUAAAGAUUGACUGUCACGAUUUUGCAUAUACUGUAUGAAGUUUGUACAUGUAACAAAUAAUUUUUGUUGUCUGACAAAUAUCAAGCAAAGUGGGAAUUCCGGAAUGAUAAUGUUGGCAUUUCUCGUUGUCCACUUUGAGGCGGGUUUGGUAGAACUACUGUUUUCCCUUGCCAACCUGACAUAAUGAAUUUCAAUAUUUCACGAAUUACAUAUUCUAUGCAUUAAUUAAAAAAUUGACAGAUAUGAGAGUACUUAAAUAUUAAUAUAUGUGCUCUUAGAUAUCACAACAAAUAAAGUUCAUAUGGAAACUUAUAAAAGUAAAUGCACAACAUACAUAUAUAAUUGAUCCCAAUUGCACGAUAGCGCUGAUUCAAAUGGAUCCUCCCUCGAUGUUUUAAUUUAAAUAAGAGGCCAUUUGGAGACAUGCAUUUCAUUUCAAAUGACAAGAUUUAAGUUGUCAUCUCCAACACUCAAAUUUAUACAAAUAUUUGAAUGUCUGGAUUUCAAAUGAAAUCCAAAUCCACAUUCCCAAACAGAUUAUUUGAUCAAAUCCAAAAUUUCAAAUGAAAUCCAAUUUCCCAAACAGGCCAUAAAUGUAAUCCAACAAGAUACAAUAAAAUCUUAUCAACAAUAUCUGGAUUCUUAAUGACCAUUAAUCGUUCAAUUUCGAGAUUAUGGCUUCCCUUUAUCAUCUCUCCAAUAAGAGAAAGUAUUUUCAUAGAUAGAGAUCGAAAUGUGGUUUAGUUUUUCAAUUACCUUCCAUAUUAUAGUACAAGAACAAGGGCGCUCAAAACUAACACAAAUUACCCACUUAUGUUAUGACAAAAUAUUCCGAUACAGCUAACCAACACAACCAAGGGCACAAUAUAUCAUAGGGUUAGUUACCAGCAUUCAAAACCCAUCAAUAAAUCUGACCACGUAUAUGUUCAAAACAGACAACAAAAAAUUCCGAUCAAGGGCACGAUCUAUCAACAGCAUAUAGCCGACCACUACCAGUUGUCACAUAUAUGUUCAAAACGGACCACAAUUAAAUUGCAUUUAGCUAGUCCAUUAAACAAGCCUUUCAUUACAAAGAUCAGAAUUUUACCCAAUCAGGCAGAUCAUUGUUUUGUUUUUCUGGAGCAUCUUCUUCAUUGUUUACUGCAGGAAGAGAUUUGAUAAUUAGUAUAUUUCAAAUUAGAUAAAUUAACUAUUAAACAAUCAGAAUUGAGAAAUCUAGGGUUUAAAACACAAAAUAUAUACCUGUUUUUAGACUUCGAAACAGAUAGCAUCACGAAACGAUUCAGCACUUUACACUCUAGAUACAUACACACACGAUUAUCAUAGAUCGUUGCGGCGAUGCCCUAAUCUAGGCGAUGCCCUAAUGUAAUUGAGAAGCUGCCGCCUUAACCUACACGACGAGUGAUUUUAUACCUAAAAAUAAAUUGGUUUAACUAAAACGCCUGGGCUUUCUUAUGAGAAAUGGACUUUUCUGUGAGUUAUUUUAUACAAGGGGCCGGCUAACCUGUGCCCUCAGGGCACAGGUUAAAAUGUAUUUAAUGCAUCUUGGUGGUAGCUGACAGCUAAUGUGAUUAUAGUUUUUUGUAACAAUACAUUAAUGACUAAUUACAUUCAAAUCAUAUUUGAUAUUUUAUUUAAUCAUAUAUUAUAUUAUAAUUUGAAUUAUUAUAUUUUUUAAGAAUAUUAAAAUAAUAAAAGACUCAUAAAUUUAUUAUUAAAUAUUAGAUUGGCCGAUUUUAGUUAGAGGGCUGAUUUUAAUUUGAAAAUUAGUGUGCAUGCAGGGGGGCCUUGUUAUUAUUUGUGCGAUGAAAUCAAUUAAAAAUUAUCAUAUAAAAUGUGAUAAAAGAAUUAUUCUAUGUUCCCCCAUUUUUUUGAAAUUUAAUAUUAUUUUAUAAUAAAUAUAUAAUUUAGAAGACAAAUAAAAAAUAGAUGUAUAAUUAGUACUUAAUAAAUUUUUGAAUGAUUCUAUACAAAUACACUGAUAACUAUGCAAACACAAGAGUAGUUGACUGUAUUAAUUCCUACUUAUCCUGUGCCCUCAGGGCACAGGUUAGCCACUCCGUUUAUACAAUAUGAGAUCUGUUCCGGUGGAUCCAGACCGUGCCAAAAGAAUCCGGACUUUUCCGGAAUAGAUUAGAUCGGGCUUUUUUAAAAAUCAGGUUGGGAUGGACUUUCUCAAAAAUACUGAGCCUGGUUUACUUAUAAAAAGUCCAAAUUUUUUAAAAAUCCAAAUUUUAUCCAGAUUUUUUUGAAAAUACUAGGCUUGUUUUAGGCCUUCGGAUUGGGCCGUGCCAGCUCGGGUUUUUUUCAUAUAGGUUUUUCAAAUUUUUUCCCCAGAGAUCAAAUAUGUCCUUUUUAGCUUAGGUUAAGUGUCCAAAAUUUGUUCCCAUAUUUUUUCUCAAAUUUAUUCGAUAUUGUGUGAUUGAUUACACAUAUAAUAAUAAAUAUGCACAUAAAUCACCCAGUUAAAAUUCGUUAUAUGUCUGUCAUGUGAUUUGAAAAAAAAUAAAAAAUUUGAGGACGAAUUUUGAGGUAUGUAGUAUUUUUUUCAAACAAAAUGUCAUUGUUAAAUCAAUAACAAGGAAUUUUUAUCCUCUUCAGUUUAUAGCAUAUUUUUAUAAAUUUACAUAUAAUAAUUAUAUUUUUUAUACUUUUAUGAAAUAUAAAGAGUCGUGAAUAUUUUUUGUCAAAAAAUAGUUCUCACCGCAGUUUAACACCCCAUCACAAACAAAAAUAUCACAUGAGUCGAUAUCCACAAAUUAUAGUUAAAUUAUACACAUUUUAACUAGUCUUAAUAAUUUACAAAAAUUAUUUACAAAUUUAUUAUAUAUCAUAAGAUUGAUCCAAGCCAGUUAAGAUAGUUAAGAUGAUUUCGGUAGUAGGUUGAAUAAUAUCAAAUCAUGUUAAAAAAUAACAUAGAAAAUUUUUACGUAUUCAAUCAUAAAUUUUAAAUAGAAAGAACCAUAAUCUAAUUCGGGUAAAUAUUUAUUUGGAUAUCAUUAAUUACAUAUUAUCAAAAAUCUAGUAUUUCGUUUGUAUUUCGAUUUUAUUUGGGUUAAAUUUCCGAUCCACAUAUUUUUUUUAUCAAUUUAAAUCGAUUUUCGAAUUCUAAUCAAAUUUGAUUAUAUUAUAUUUGAUAUUAGUUUUCACGUGAUUCUAAACAGAUUGGUUCAGAUGGGAUUUACAAUAUUAAUUUAUAUGCGAUUCUAAUAAGAUAUUAAUUAUUAUAUAUUGGGGUCAUGUUCAAAAGAGAACCAUUAGAGAGAGAAAACAGAACUUAAGUAUUAGUUAGGGUUAUGCAUCAGAACUUCACAUGCAAAAAUUGUGAAUAUCUAUGUAUUAUAUUUUAAAAUUAUUUUUGAACACACACAACAAUGAAAAAAAACAUAUAUUUAGAUUUAUAUCCUAAAAAUUUAUUUAAAAUUUAGGGUUUUAUAGUUCUAUUUUAAGGUCUGAUCCUUUCUUGAAUGCGACCUUUAUGUAUUAAUAUAAAAAUUUUAUUAUCUCAUUUUUGAUCACUCAAUGAAAUAACAGUACUAACUACAAAAUUUAUGGAUAUAUGUAAACAAGCAAAUUAGCUAAAAUAUCUUUGUUCUUUUCUUUUUCGAAAAGUUUGAUAUUGCCAAAUACAAAAUUUUACAACAUUAUUUGGUGAGAUUUACUUAGAUUAAUAGUUUUGUUGAUUAAUUCACAACACCAAAAUCAUAAUAAUUAAGGUCAUUUUUGACAAUUUAAAAAGCCUUUCAUUUUCUUAAUAUCGGUUAAAACCAACAUUGCCGUGAAUAAAAAUACUAAAUGAUAAAUAUUUGGUAUAGUUGAUACAUUAAUAUACGUGCAGAAAUGAAUGUAUAUACAAAUUUCACUAGAAGAUCAUAUCCAUAGUGGCAUCACUCGUUAGCCUUAUAGAUAUCAAUACAAGGACUCACACGUAUUUGAAAAAACAACUUGUAUCUAAGUUGUACUUCUGAGCAGCUUUGGUUGGGCUGAUUUGCCAAGUUACCUUUCGAAACUUCUUGAUUCCGAAGUUAUAUUUUCCUUGGGCAUUCCAUAACAGCAACAUUCCAAAGACUCGAAGACAGAAAAAAUUGCAGACCUUGCAACUGGGAAUCACUGCCUUUAUUAUCUCCGCUGCUGUUAUCGGCCUCUUGAAUUCUUUUUACAGUAUGUCUUACAGUAUUUUUGGGCAACUAAUCAUCGGCAAGAACAAUUUGUGCUCGACAAACACUGAUUUACUGAGAUAUGAUGGUAUCCCUGACACCUGAGAGUUCAAUAUUUAGGAAGUCGGGUAUCAGUUCGAUAAUUAAUACCUUACUAUAGAAUGCGGAACAGACAGUCUUAAUGAUCUAUAAAGACUUAUACCACACAAAAUUGACAGAGCAAAACAUGACCAUUUACAUUACAGUAUGCAGAGUAAAAUAAUCAAAUUUGUGAAAGAAACAAGGUAGUACGAACUAUGAAGCAAUAAUCCAAUUAUUAUGCAAAGAAACCCAUACAUAAUCUUCUAGUGGAAGACUAUCAACUUAACUGAUACAAAAUCUCAUUCUCAAAAGCCGCUUUAUCCGAAAACCAAUGCAAAAUAUUAAUUCACUCAGAAUCUUCCUGUUACAGGACUGAUUAGACAAGAGUACAGAAAUAUGCCUGUGAGAUAGAGGAAGAGAAAGGAAGGGAGGGAUAGGCUUACUCAUUUAGCUUACGAACAUCAUAUUAAAUCAUACUUCCUAUGUUCUACAACAGUAUUGGUAUAAUUAUUAAAUCAUAUUAGUGUAUAAUAUUUGCGUGCUAUAAAAGUAUUUGUAUUUUUCUACAAAAAUAUUGCAUUAUAAAAUAAUUUUCUACUAUAUUAAUAUAUGUUCCGCAGCAGUAUAACGUAGUAAUAUGUAUUUUUCUAUAAAAAUAUUGCAUUAUAAAAUAAUUUUCUACUAUAUUAAUAUAUGUUCCGCAUCAGUAUGACGUAUUUUCCUAUAAUAAUAUUGUAUAAUAAAAUCAUUUUUAAUUAUAUUAAUAUAUGUUCCGCAUCAGUAUGACGUAUUUUCCUAUAAUAAUAUUGUAUAAUAAAAUCAUUUUUAAUUAUAUUAAUAUAUGUUCCGCAGCAGUAUGACGUAGUAAUUUGUAUUGAAGAUCUUUAACAAAUAUUCUGCAGCAGUACAAGCCUAUAAGUUAUAUGAUUGAAUUAUAUAAUUUUGGAAAGUUUACAUUAAUCAUGGAAUUAAAUAUUGUCAUUUAAUGAAGGUUCUAAGGUUCUAAAAUUAAGAGGUUCUAUGUGGAACCUGACCCUGUAUAUAUAUAUAUAGGGAAGUGCUCAAAUACAAACUAAGUUAGUGUACAAACUACAAACUUAAUAUAAGCCCUUGGAUGAAUCUAAUCCAAUGGCCCCGCAGGGGCAACCACACACCAGUUAAUAUGCACCCUGCCACACAUGAUCCACAGAAUCCCCUCCAUUUUUAAUUUGAAUUUUCCCGUCAAUCGGUGAACUUUUUUUGAAAUCAGAUUUCACUGUAUUUUUGUUCAUCUCCCAACGAUUAAUUUCCAUACCAUAUGUGCUAUAUUCCGAUUUGAUUUAGAGACAUUUUAAUUUUGGUUUGUAGUUUGUACGCUAAGAAGGUUUGUACGAGAGUAAGACCCUAUAUAUAUAGUUAUUGACAUUGAUUUUAGACGAAAAAGGAAAUUGUUUUUGUUUAAACUCUAAUCAAUUUGAUUUUGUUUGUUUAAACUCUAAUCAAUUUGUUUCGUGACAAAUUCAUAUGUCGCAUUCUAGCUUUCUCAUCGGUAUUACAUUCAAUCAUACAGAUUAUUACAAACAUCGUUAAGAUAUUCUAUAUUAUGAAUUAUAUAUUUUGAACAAGCAUCGUUAAGAUUUUCAUCUAUAUUUUUUAUUUCCUUAAAAUUAAUAUAUUUAACUAAUCAUCACUUGCUUGUACAUUCAUCUAACAAUAAAAUGUUUUAUGUCUUCCAUCACUAAGAUCACAAAAACAUCCAACUUCGGCACCUAAACAAAUGCUAUAUAACCCGGAAGAAAAUUGGUCAAUUAUGAACCACUGUUCCAAAAUGCAGAAUCCUGUUUUAACACACACACAAGCUUAUUAUAUACAUUAUACAGGUCAAUAAAUAAACAGACAAAUACUAGAAAUACUUCAAGUAACUUAAUGGUUACUUGAACAUCAUCUAUUUUAAGUCUUUUGAGCCCUGAUCUUACAUAGGAAUAAGAAUAAGACAAUAUGGUUACUAGCAAAUUAGCGGGCCUUAGAUAAUUGUUUUUCAUCAUUUUGGAGCAUCAUCUUCAUUGUUUACUGCAAAUCAUCUUCCUUGUUUACUGCAAAGAAGAAUGUGAAAAUCAGUAACUUUCAUACUAGAAAAUAUAAUAAAUUUCAAGUACAUUAUAACUUAAUUAUAAGCAUACCUUCACCAUUUAUGAGCCAUCCGUCUCCCGGAUAUUAUUAAACAAAACAAUCUUUACGUGAAUAAGACUGUAUUGGGUUUGUUUUAUGGCAGGGUCGGCUAGGAGCUCAGCACAAAAUUCUAGACACCUACAUAGAGCUCGCUGAGGGAAGAUGGAACUCAUCCUUGUGCUUUGGAACAAGGUCGGAAAUUCCUAGAGGUGGUGCCAGCCUCUAGGUUCUUUUACCUCGUCAGCUGCAUAAACACAAACACUGAACACAGGGCACAGUGGACAUAUAAUAUAUCUUAGAAAAAUAAGGACGGAAAUUUCAUAAUUUUGCAUAUAUUGUAGGAAGUGUACAUAUAAAAACCAAUUUUUUUGUUAUACAAAAAUCAAGCGAAAGGUGAGGAAUACCAUCUCGAGAAAUGUUGGCAUUUCUCUUUGUCCACUUGGUGCCAAUUCUGGUAAAAUUAAUUUUAUUCCUUGCCGACCUGACAUAAUAAAUUACAUAUUCUACGCAUUAAUUAAAAAAUUAACAAUUAUGAGAGUACUUCAAUACUAAUUUAUGUCCUUUCAGAUAUCACAAUAAAUAAAGUUCAUACAGAAACCUAUAAACGUAAAUGCACAGGCUACAUACAUAAUUAAUCACAAAUUGCAAGAUAGUGCCGCUUGGAUGCAUCCUCUCAGAGUGUUUUGAAUUAAAUAAAUGUGAUUCAACAAUAUAUAACACAAUAGUAUCAACAAUAUCUGGAUUCUUAAUGCCCAUUCAUUGUUAAUUUUCGAGACUGUUUGGUUUCCCUUUAUUAUCUCUAUCCAACAAGCAAUGGUAUCUAAUAACAAUAGAAAGCUUUCCAUAGACAUACAGAAAUCAAAAAGCAGUUUACUUUUCUAAUUAACUUCUACAUUAUACUACGAGAAAUAGGGUGCUCAAAACUAACACAAAAUAGUAUCACAAUAUCUGGAUUCUUAAUGCCCAUCCAUUGUUAAUUUUCAAGACUGUUUGGUUUCUCUUUAUUAUCUCUAUCCACCAAGCAAUGAUCUCUUACAACAAUAGAAAGCUAAAGUAUUUCCAUAGACAUACAGAAUCAAAAAAUAGUUUCCUUUUCUAAUUAACUUCUACAUUAUACUACAAGAAAAAGGGUGCUCAAAACUAACACAAAAUAUUCCAAUACAGCUAACCAACACAAUCACGAUAUGUUCAAAACAGACCACAAUUACCAAAGGUCGUUCAAAACUAAUCACAAAUUACCCUGAUCCAGUGACAAAAUAUUCCGAUACAGCCAACCAACACAAUCAAGUGCACGAUCAAUCAUAAAUAUUCCGAUACAGCUAACCAACACAAUCAAGGGCACGAUCUACCAAUUAUCACAUAUAUGUUCAAAACAGACUACAAUCAUAUGAGAUUUAGCUAGUCAAUUAAACAAGCUUUCAUUACAGAUCAGAAUUUUACCCACCAGGAGAAGUUCUUAAGUGCACAAUGUCAUCAAUGUCGUCCUCAUCAUCAAUCCACCCGUAACAAGGCCUGCGUCGUUUCCUUGGAAUAGUUCCGCCUGGUGCUUGUGGAGGGAGGAUGGCCAGGGAAAGCUCGGUGUUAGUAUUACCGAGGUUGACAUCUGAGCUGAUAACAGGGGCCAUAAGAUUAACAUCACGUCCACGGGACGCUUCCAUACCUUCACCAUGGAGAACAACAUUCUCAUCAUUCUAUGUGUGUGGUGACUAAUAUCAUAUUACAUUCUGCAAUUUAAAAUUUUGCUAUCCUGACCUUUAUGUAAUAACAUUGUUUCACCAUAAAGUCAAUAUGAUUGUAUCAUACAAAUAUUGGCGAGGCAUAAACUCAACUUAUUUUUCUUAAACGAGAUGAUAAUUCUUAUAGUGUACCUGUAUUGUCAGAAUUUUACCCACUGAGGCAGCAAUAGAACAAAGUUUUGUUUUUCUGGAGCAUCUUCUUCAUUGUUUACUGAAACAAAAAAAGCAAAAUUAGCGAGUUUCAUAUCAGAUAAAUUAGCUAUAAAACAAUCGGAAUUGAGAAAUCUAGGGCUUAAAAACACAAAAUAUAUACCUGUUUUUGGGCUUCGAAACGGAUCACAUAAUGAAUUUGAAACAUCGAUCCAGCGAUUCAGCACUGAAUUAUGAAUACACUCAAACACACACGAUUAUUAUCGAUCGACGCGGCGUGCCCUAGUCUAAUUGGGAAGCCGCCGCCUUAACCUGCACGAGGAGGAGUUUACAGGUGAUUUUAUACCUAAAACAUAUGGGCUAGGGUUUCUUAUGAAUAAUCUAAAUGGGCUUUUUUAAGUGAUGGGCUAGGGUUUAAUCUGAAUAAUCGGAAUGGGUUUUUUUUAAGUGAUGGACUGUUAUUGUGAUUGUUCAUAAACACGUUUGACUGUUUUUAUUUUGAAUUAGAUGAUGGUGAAAAGCUUCGUGGCGAUAUAUACUGAUUUUCUUCACUAAAUCAUGGAUCAAGUUCUCCGUAGUUUAAAAUUUUUAAAAAUGUUGAAAGUUUUGAUAUUUAAGCAAAUUUAUUUUAAAAUAUAUGAUAAUAAGUCCAUUUAUAAAAAAAUAAUNUCCGUAGUUUAAAAAUUUUAAAAAUGUUGAAAGUUUUGAUAUUUAAGCAAAUUUAUUUUAAAAUAUAUGAUGAUAAGUCCAUUUAUAAAAAAAAAAUUUAAAUUUAAAUUUUAAUAUUAAAAUAUGUAUUAUAGUCUCGGAAAAAAAUAUGAUCAUAGUCUCGGAAAAAAAAGUAAGUCUUUUUCUAUAUCAAAAUAUUUGAAAUGAAUUUUUAAAUUCUAAUUUGAUAUUUAUUAAUGUAUGCAGUUUUUAUUUUUGAUAUAUUGAAAAAAGUAGUUUUGAAACUUUCCUCCAAUAUAUCCGAAACUGAAAAAGGUAAUUUUUAUUUUUGAUAUUUACAAAAUUAAAAAUAUAAUUCGAAACUUUCUUCCAAUAAUUUUGAUACAGAAAAAGGUAGGUAGAUUUAAUUUUUGAUAUACUGAAAAUGAUAGUUCUACAACUUGCUUCUAAUAUACCCGAAACUAAAAAAAGUAGUUUUUAUUUUUGAUAUUUUUCAUCCAAAAAUUUCAGAAAAUUGGAGGAAAAAAAGUAAGUUUUUUUCCAUAUCAAAAUAAUCGAAAAGAAAUUUCAAAUUCUGAUUUGAUAUUUAUUAAGUUAGUUUUUAUUUUUGAUAUAUAGAAAAAUGAUGUUUUGAAACUUUCCUUCAAUAUCCGAAAUUGAAAAUGGUGAUUUUUAUACAAAAAAAAAAAUGUAGAUAGGUAGAUUUUANNNNNNNNNNNNNNNNNNNNNNNNNNNNNNNNNNNNNNNNNNNNNNNNNNNNNNNNNNNNNNNNNNNNNNNNNNNNNNNNNNNNNNNNNNNNNNNNNNNNNNNNNNNNNNNNNNNNNNNNNNNNNNNNNNNNNNNNNNNNNNNNNNNNNNNNNNNNNNNNNNNNNNNNNNNNNNNNNNNNNNNNNNNNNNNNNNNNNNNNNNNNNNNNNNNNNNNNNNNNNNNNNNNNNNNNNNNNNNNNNNNNNNNNNNNNNNNNNNNNNNNNNNNNNNNNNNNNNNNNNNNNNNNNNNNNNNNNNNNNNNNNNNNNNNNNNNNNNNNNNNNNNNNNNNNNNNNNNNNNNNNNNNNNNNNGAAUUUGAAACAUCGAUCCAGCGAUUCAGCACUGAAUUAUGAAUACACUCAAACACACACGAUUAUUAUCGAUCGACGCGGCGUGCCCUAGUCUAAUUGGGAAGCCGCCGCCUUAACCUGCACGAGGAGGAGUUUACAGGUGAUUUUAUACCUAAAACAUAUGGGCUAGGGUUUCUUAUGAAUAAUCUGAAUGGGCUUUCUUUAAGUGAUGGGCUAGGGUUUAAUCUGAAUAAUCGGAAUGGGCUUUUUUUAAGUGAUGGACUGUUAUUGUGAUUGUUCAUAAACACGUUUGACUGUUUUUAUUUUGAAUUAGAUGAUGGUGAAAAGCUUCGUGGCGAUAUAUACUGAUUUUCUUCACUAAAUCAUGGAUCAAGUUCUCCGUAGUUUAAAAAUUUUAAAAAUGUUGAAAGUUUUGAUAUUUAAGCAAAUUUAUUUUAAAAUAUAUGAUGAUAAGUCCAUUUAUAAAAAAAAAAUUUAAAUUUAAAUUUUAAUAUUAAAAUAUGUAUUAUAGUCUCGGAAAAAAAUAUGAUCAUAGUCUCGGAAAAAAAAGUAAGUCUUUUUCUAUAUCAAAAUAUUUGAAAUGAAUUUUUAAAUUCUAAUUUGAUAUUUAUUAAUGUAUGCAGUUUUUAUUUUUGAUAUAUUGAAAAAAGUAGUUUUGAAACUUUCCUCCAAUAUAUCCGAAACUGAAAAAGGUAAUUUUUAUUUUUGAUAUUUACAAAAUUAAAAAUAUAAUUCGAAACUUUCUUCCAAUAAUUUUGAUACAGAAAAAGGUAGGUAGAUUUAAUUUUUGAUAUACUGAAAAUGAUAGUUCUACAACUUGCUUCUAAUAUACCCGAAACUAAAAAAAGUAUUUUUUAUUUUUGAUAUUUUUCAUCCAAAAAUUUCAGAAAAUUGGAGGAAAAAAAGUAAGUUUUUUUCCAUAUCAAAAUAAUCGAAAAGAAAUUUCAAAUUCUGAUUUGAUAUUUAUUAAGUUAGUUUUUAUUUUUGAUAUAUAGAAAAAUAUAUAUAGUUUAAACUUUAAACCUCAUUCAUCUUUGUAUCACCAUCAAAAUGAGAUCAUUCAUCUUUUUAUCACCGUCAUAAUUAACUUUGGAAGAUAUAAAGUUCUCAUAUUGACUUGCAUGGGAAACUGGGAGCUCAUACUAAGACUCCUAUAUUCUUUUACAUUUGUAAAACUAGGAGGGGUGUAUUGGAUUGGGAUUUUAAAGCAUUUUUUUGCAUUCAUGAAAUCCGAGGGUAUUCGAUUGGGAUUGUUUGAAAUCCAUUAAAAUCUUGAGGUAUUCAAUUGGGAUUUUAAACUAUGCUACAAAAUCUAGUGGUAUUCAAUUGGGAUUUUAAAUUAUGCUUUAAAAUCCGAUGGUAUUCAAUUGGGAUUGUUUAAAAUCCAUUAAAAUCUGAUGGUAUUCAAAUGCUGAUGGAUUUUUUUUCAUUUCAUAAAAUGAUGGAUUUUGUGGCAUUCUUCAGUGUAUUUCAAGUUUUUUGAAAUCCCACCAAAUUCAAUGAGAUUUUGAAGCAUUGUACCUAAAUUCUAUCAACUCUGCGACAUUUCAUCAAGAAUCCGCAAAAAAUCAAAAUCCCAUACAAUCCAUUAAAAUCCAUAGACUAAAAACAAUGCAUUAAAAUCCCAAUCGAAUACACCCCCAUAGGUGUGAAGACCACGCGUCAGGAAAAACAUUUUUCGGGAGCACAUUAUCAAAACAAAUAAGCUGUUUGUUUAUAAUCUUAAAUAACAAUAUUAGUUGUUAUAUUAUCAUUUUUAUCACAAGUUCCCAAACUGCUUGCAAGUUGGGAAAGUUUCCUGAAAAGGAAUCUGUUCUGCUUUUCUUCCAAGUAUUAUAUCACACUCUCAUUCUUUCAUUUUCAUGUCAGCAAUAACAAUGGAAAAUAUGCUUUGGCAAUACUGAUACCAUUCAAGCUGAGGUGUACCAGAGUAGAUAAAUUCAAUAACCAACCAAAUAUGCCACCUUGUAGAAUACCAGUGUGGCCGAGAUUAAGCUGCUGUAAUUUGAAAAGAUUACCAAGCUGAUGUUGAAUGGCUCCAGAAAAAAGGUUAUCAAAGAUCGAGGUAUGUGAAGCUGGUGAAAGAAGGAAUGAAAAAAAAAUAAAAAACUUUAAAAUUGCAAAUUUAAACUUUUACAUUAAAGAUAACACAUUUGUCUAAAAGUUGAGAACCAAAUGAAUAGCAGCUUAUACAAUAUCUUAAUCAAGACAAGACAAUUUUUGUCCACCAUUAUCCUACAAUUUGCAAAGCCUCAAAGGCUGCUCACACUAAAAGAAGUCCCAAAACAUUUCAUAAAUUUUUAAGUUAAAGUAGUUGAAGUACAUCCUCUGUUUUCUCUGAGCAAACAUCCUCUUUUGUAAUUGGAUUUUAAAGGUGUGCUCUAUCUCUCGCUUUCACAGAGCAUUUCUCUCAGUAAUACAACGGCCUCCAUAACAGAAAAUUCUUUCAUCCAUUUGGCCACCCCUUCGCCAAAUUUGUCUGCCCAAUAUAUUUCGGAUCAAUGGCCAUAAAAAUCUUUACGCAACUCCUAAAACCAUCUUCGAAGGCCUCUUUUAUUUUUUUGUUUCUCAACAGCUCAAUUGUUGGCCCUGUCGAGUGACGCCAAUGCAAGAACAUCCUUGAAAGCUCACAGGCCUAGAACUGAAAACAAUCUUAUAAAUAAAAAGAUAUUCUUUAAAACAUUAAACUUUAUCUCUACAAGAAUAGUCUAUAUCUAUGUGUAAUCACAAUUUAUUACGAUUACGAACUAACAAUAUAUAAGCAGACAAACUUAGGCACAUCGUCAUAGAAUGAACAACAAAGUUAUACAACUUAUUUAAAAACAUCAGUUGGGAAAAGCAGUAUAAAGAGGUAGAGACUUGGUGGCCUCAGAUAAAGGACGUUGUGCGAAUAUAACCUGGCUUUCUACUUGCUGGCACCAUAGUGGUGAAUUGAGCCAUUUCUCACCAAAAUCUUACUUGCAAAUUUGCUAGCUAUUAAUACAUUUAAUGGUUGAAUAUUCUUUAUUAGAUUGUAUUCUAAUAAUUAACUUGUGUUUUAUCCUUUAUUAUACAUAAAGAUAUAUAAUAUUUAGAAGUAAUUUCUGAAAAUUCCAUUGACUCCUGUUUCACACUGUGCCCACUUACAGGACUUGUUCUAGGGAAAGUGACUUGUGCCUCCAAGCAUUUCAAGCUCAAACUGUGAAGCCCAAAUAAUAUAGCAGGCAAGUAGCUUACUAUAUGUAGCAGUAAAGACAAAGACAAUGCUACUAUGCCGGAAAAAAUUGCAAGGGCACUCGCAAAGGAUCAGAUAUACCUAAUGCAGAAUAACCCGAAGGAGGAAGUUCAUUAUUCACCUCGAUACUCAGUUAACAGUUUUUAACUUAUAGAAAACCAACAACUUCAAGCAGAAAAAGAUCAGGUAGAGCAAUAGUAGCUAGUUGAUGCAAAAAUUAAAUGCCUCAAAGAGUCUGAUACGAAGUUAGUUAAGUGUGUGGCUGUGUGCAUAUGUGGAGAGAGUUACCAUAGCAUAUAGCAAGGAUAAAGAAGCUUAUCAAUUCAUUCUAUCAAGCAAUAAUAAUUCAGCUUACCUGAAUUCAUAAGCGGAAGUACAAAGAAAAGUUCAGAGAGUCCCACGAGAGAAUGAAUCGUGUCUGAACUGAUUGCCCAUACAAGAUCUCCCUGAAAAGAAGAUUGAAGUCCGAGAAAUGACACAAUAAAUGAGAAGAUUUCUAUCAUAAAUCACAAGUGCUUGUAAAAUAAAAUUGCAUGUGGAAUGACUAAGCUGCAACUACGUAUUACCUUGAGCUGCAAAAACAUUUCAUAUGUGAAUACAAGAAACAAAUGACAACUAUUAUUAGCAAGGCAUGAACACACAAGUCCCCUUAAAAUAAGUUGAAAAAAAUAAUCACCACCUGUGGAAUGUAACGAUGGCUCUUGCGCUUAGGUUGGUGAACUGCUGCUGAGGAGCAGUCACUUAGAACAGUCUCCACUUGCGCUGGAGGUUUGUUUUUGAGCAUACAGCUGGAUGCCUGGAUUUUCCUCACCUUUCCUUGCCUCUGUCAAAUCUAAGACUUUAUCCUAAUCAUCACCGAUUAAAAAAUCAAAAUCCACGAUAAAUUAAGCAUCAAAACCCUAAUGAAACACAGACACCAAUUCAAAUACACAUAGAAAUUGAUAAAGACAACGAACUGCGCAUACAUAAAAAUCUGCUGCUAUGCUCUCCGGAUAAAUCAGAAGGAGAUAACUGCCCACGACUAUGAUCAUAUAACAUAAAUCAACCCUGAAAAUCAGCAAGAAUAACAUACAUACCCGCUUUGACCCUCUAGCUGAAUCCGUCAUAUUCAUGCCGAUCGGCUUUCCCCGGUGUGAAAAGAUUGUCCAGAGAAGGCCAUUUAUAAGUAAAUCUCUGAGGAGGCACAGAGACCUCGGUUACGGAGCGGGUAACUGAAGUGCCUGUCCAAGUCCCAGGCUGAACAUAACCGCUAGGCAAGCUGAGAGAAAAUAUAAAAGAAAUAGACAAAAGUGCAGAGAGCAGGGAUUUUGAUUCAAGAGCGUAAAGAGCGCCACGUAAGACGCCCGAGAUUUUGCUUUAUAUAGAUAUAAGAUUUGACAUUCUUUAGUAUAAAAUUUUAAAAAUAAUAUUAAUUACAUAUACGUCAAGUGAGUAGCAUGUAAACUAUGAAUUUUUUUUACAAAGUGCUGAAUCGAUCCUCUGUCAUCACACAAACGUAUUAUAUACAUUAUAUAGGUAAAUAAAUAAACAGACAAAUAUAAAAACUACUUGAGUAACUUAGAUUUUAAGUCUUUUGAGCAUUGAUGUUACAUAGAAAUAAGAAUAAGACAAUAUGGUAAGGAAUACAUUGGUAGGUUCAACUACUUGGAAAAAAAUCAUCUACAUUGCCAGCUUUUAACUUAGUUCUUGCAAUUUCAAAAGUUCCCGAUAUGUCGCGUUGCUUUAUCUUCAACGAAAUAACCAAGUAGACAAGCAGCAGCUUCUUAAUAGCAGAUAAGUAGCAGAUUAGCCAGCCUUAGUUACUGUUUUCCAUCUUUUUGGAGCAUCAUCUUCAUUGUCUACUGCAAGAAGAAAUUUGAAAACCAGUGAAUUGAAUACUAGAAAACUUAAUAGAUUUUUCAAGUACAUUAUAACUAUAUAACAAGCAUACCUUCACCAUCUCUGAGCCAUACGUAUCCCGGAUAUUAAACAAGAUAAUCUUCACGUGAAAAAGAUUGUACUGAGUUUGUUUUACAAUACCUCAAAGUGUGUACGAAAACAUACCUUUAAAAAGAAGUAAAGAUAUAUCACAAACUAAUAACUUUCAACCAAACUAUACAAUAUACUACGACAGAAAGUUUAAUACUCCCUCUGUCCCGGUUACAUUUUAACCGACUUUGACUUUUUAACACGUAUAUUGAGAUGCAAAAAAAUAAUAUCUACACUGAAUAAAAAAAUUCAAUUCUUAUACCAAAUAAUAGUUUAGAUUCUAAACGUUUAAUUGAUAUGAAUUUUAUAAAGAAUUAUUAUGUUUACAUGUGAUUUUCCUAACACCUUAAAAUACAUGUAAAAAAGUCAAAAGCAGUUAAAAUGAGACGGAGAGAGCAUAUAGAACAAGAUAUUUGUGUGCACAUAAAGUCUCUUACCUCAACAAUAUUUCCUCUAGGAAGGCCGACACCCAAUGCAAUGUCCAAUGUCAGACAACCACUUGGAAAAGAGUCACUGCAGUAGACCAAAUUGGAGAACAGGGCAAUUUGUAAGUAAUGAAAACUGAGAGUGUGUGCUUGUUCAUUUCUAUCGAAGUGAUUUAAAGAAAGAUAAGGAAAAGUUCACAUUGCAGACAGAACAUUCGAAAUUUCGAACAGCGUUUAUUAAAUGCAAAUAGAAUUGGAAGAAGUCUACAUUAAUAGUAUUUGAACACAUACACAAGAGAUCCACCAGCAUUGCCUAAUCUUGUUACAGCUCCUUUUCCAAAUGAGUUAUUAAUGUCAUUCAUAGCUGCUUCCAAUGCUUUCGCCUGUAACAAAAUAUUUACAUCAAAUAUGGACAUUAGAUUAGUUUUGAUUAUGGUCCAUGAAAUAAAUUGUAACAUUCCUCAUUUCCACAUUGUUUGACUUAUGAGCUAAUUUAUUUUUAGACAUCCAUCUUCUUCUUGAAUUGUAUAAUAUCCUAUCAAGUUGAUUAAUCCAAGAACUGUAGUCUGUAGGUGUUUCCCAUAAGAACCUGAGGCAUAUUUGACAUCUUACGUUCUUUCCUAAUCACGGUGCUUCUUAAAGAAUAAUAUUACCUGACAAGAUUAUGAAACUCAGAAAGUAAAGCACCGCAUAUUAUAUCACUAUUUAAGGACUCACCUUCUUUCAAAACUCCACCCAGCUCUAUCAAUUUAGGGUAUAAUAUAUGAUGAAUGCAAUCCCUGUUUACGACUCCUAAUAAUAAUAACAAUGCCGAUGCCUUCUACACCAAGAGUGUGGGAUAGUUCAUAGGAAGUGAAUCAUAUACAGUGAAUCCAAUUCCGUACAUAUCAGACUACUUCAGAUAAACUGGCACAAGCACGGAUAUAGUUGCAACUUUAUCAUUGGAGUACUUUUAACUAAAUCAUCCCUUGCACUAUAAGUCAUAAUAACAAAUUACUUGCCAACAAGUUAGAAUCUCCAGAAUGCACCAUUCCAAAUAACUAAAAUAAGAGCAAAAUUAUAUACUUCAACAACUAAUUAACGACCAAAAAAUUAUGGCUAGGAACAGAACACAGUAAACAGAAUACACAAAAUAACAAAUAUAUAUCACAUUUCCACAAUAACAAUUAACAUAAGCUGAUUACAUUACCGUAAAAAAACACAUAAAACCCUUCCAACUCUAAUAUACUUCUACUUCUAUCCCUAUCAAACAAC
This 17753-nucleotide long non-coding RNA is filed under the name Daucus carota (carrot). Its description in RNAcentral is "long non-coding RNA (DCAR_LNC000050)". Lineage: Eukaryota; Viridiplantae; Streptophyta; Magnoliopsida; Apiales; Apiaceae. The record is from RNAcentral.